Sphaeramia orbicularis (orbiculate cardinalfish) is the source of this 141-nucleotide small nuclear RNA. Its record names the gene U4. It matches the Rfam family "U4 spliceosomal RNA". From Rfam's summary of the family: U4 small nuclear RNA (U4 snRNA) is a component of the major U2-dependent spliceosome. The record is from Ensembl. Lineage: Eukaryota; Metazoa; Chordata; Actinopteri; Kurtiformes; Apogonidae.
AUCUUUGCGCAGUGGCAAUAUCGUAGUCUAUGAGGUUUAUCUGAGACGCGAUUAUUGCUAGUUGAAAACUUUACCCAAUACCCUGCCUUGCUGACUUGAAAUAGGGUCAGCAAUGGCAAUUUUUGAUAGUCUCUCAGGAGA